RNAcentral lists this ribosomal RNA (914 nucleotides) under marine metagenome. RNAcentral's name for it is "bacterial SSU rRNA". It matches the Rfam family "Bacterial small subunit ribosomal RNA", at positions 173 to 1067 of the family's 1533-position model. The record is from RNAcentral.
UGCUCAUAGGACAUCCUAUGGCCAUUAAAGCGGGGGACUUCUUCGGAAGCCUUGCGGUUAAGGAGGAAUUCAUGCGAUAUCAGCUUGUUGGUGAGGUAAGAGCUCACCAAGGCUAAGACGUCUAGGCGGAUUGAGAGGUCGACCGCCAACACUGGGACUGAGACACUGCCCAGACUCCUACGGGAGGCUGCAGUCGAGAAUCUUUCGCAAUGGGCGAAAGCCUGACGAAGCGACACUGUGUGAACGAUGAAGGCCUUCGGGUUGUAAAGUUCUUUCGCCUAGGAACAAGGGAUGAAGACCAAUAAUCUUCAAACUUGAGCGUACUAGGUAAAGAAGCACCGGCUAACUCCGUGCCAGCAGCUGCGGUAAUACGGAGGGUGCAAGCAUUAAUCGGAUUUAUUGGGCGUAUAGGGGGCGUAGGCGGCUAGGUAAGUCGGAUGUGAAAUUCCGUGGCUCAACCACGGAGCUGCAUCCGAAACUACUUAGCUAGAGGAUAGGCGGGGAAAACGGAAUUCCACGUGUAGCGGUGAAAUGCGUAGAUAUGUGGAAGAACACCGGUGGCGAAAGCGGUUUUCUAGCUUAUUCCUGACGCUCAGGCCCGAAAGCAAGGGGAGCAAACAGGAUUAGAUACCCUGGUAGUCCUUGCCGUAAACUAUGCAUACUAGAUGUAGCUGGUCUCAACCCCAGUUGUGUCGAAGCUAACGCGUUAAGUAUGCCGCCUGGGGAGUACGCUCGCAAGGGUGAAACUCAAAAGAAUUGACGGGGACCCGCACAAGCAGUGGAGCAUGUGGUUUAAUUCGAUGCAACGCGAAGAACCUUACCCAGGUUUGACAUUGUGAAGAUCGCGCCAGAGAUGGCGUUUCCCGCAAGGGCUUCACGAACAGGUGCUGCAUGGCUGUCGUCAGCUCGUGCCG